RNAcentral lists this ribosomal RNA (494 nucleotides) under uncultured bacterium. RNAcentral describes it as "partial 16S ribosomal RNA". It matches the Rfam family "Bacterial small subunit ribosomal RNA", at positions 28 to 507 of the family's 1533-position model. The record is from RNAcentral.
GACGAACGCUGGCGGCGUGCUUAACACAUGCAAGUCGAACGGUGAAGCGCCUUCCUUUUUGGUGGGUGUGGAUGAGUGGCGAACGGGUGAGUAACACGUGAGUAACCUGCCCCCUUCUUCUGGAUAACCGCAUGAAAGUGUGGCUAAUACGGGAUAUUCUGGGUCUGUCGCAUGAUGGGUCUGGGAAAGAUAUUGUUUCGGUGGGGGAUGGGCUCGCGGCCUAUCAGCUUGUUGGUGGGGUGAUGGCCUACCAAGGCGGUGACGGGUAGCCGGCCUGAGAGGGUGGACGGUCACACUGGGACUGAGACACGGCCCAGACUCCUACGAGAGGCAGCAGUGGGGAAUAGUGCACAAUGGGCGCAAGCCUGAUGCAGCGACGCCGCGUGAGGGAUGGAGGCCUUCGGGUUGUGAACCUCUUUCGCCAGUGAAGCAGGCCUGCCUCGUUUGUGGGUGGGUUGACGGUAGCUGGAUAAGAAGCGCCGGCUAACUACGUG